This 6820-nucleotide long non-coding RNA is filed under the name Capsicum annuum. RNAcentral's name for it is "long non-coding RNA (CANN_LNC002295)". The record is from RNAcentral. Lineage: Eukaryota; Viridiplantae; Streptophyta; Magnoliopsida; Solanales; Solanaceae.
AUAUAUAUAUAUAUAUAUAUAUAUAUAUAUAUAUAUAGAAGGGUAUAAAAUCAGUAAGGACCAACUAUUUUGAAACGAAGACAUUACCUUUUUUUUUCCUGUAAAGUAUGUCUUCUUCAUAAGAAAAACAUGUGAUUGUAGUCCCAUGAAAAAUAAAUAUCAGACAGUACUACAGGUUGUACGUCUUGUUUGAGUUAGUAAAUGGUACAUUAAGUUUAUAUGGUCCCGUUGGUCACAUCGACAACUACGUCAAGUUUUAAAAUCAAAGCGAAAAAUUAAGAGAAAAGGAACUUUCAAUAUUUUUAUCAUAAUUUUUUAUUUUUAUAUAUAUUUUUUUAAAAUAAUAAAUUUAUCAAAAAUAAUUUUUUUAAUUAUAAAAUAUAUUUAUGAACCCCCCCCCUCCCCCCACCAACAAUUUAUGAAGAACCUAUUCUUGAGAAAUACCUCGAAGAGGAUGCAACUCCUUUUAUCCACUUAUUGAGUUCGCCUACAAUUAUAGUUAUCAUUUCAAUAUUCAAAUGACUCCUUUGAGGCCCUUCGUGGUAGAAGGUGUAGGUCUCUAAUUAGAUGGUAUGAGGUGGGUGACAAGGUUGUUUGGGCCUUAUCUUUUGCAUCAAGCGAUGGAGAAAGUCAAGGUUAUUCGAGAAAGAAUUAGGACUGUUUAAAGUCGCCAAAAGUCUUAUGUAGCUGUGAUAUGAAGAGAGAUAGAAUUCAAGGUUGGCUAUUGGAUGUUCCUGAAAGUCUCUCCUAUGAAGGGAGUUAUGAGGUUUGGAAAAAAGGGGAAGCUCAGUCCUUGCUAUAUUGGUCCAUAUAAGAUUCUAAAAAAAGCUGGGAAUGUUGCUUACGAAUUGAACUUACCAGCGAGUUUAGCAUCUGUUCUUCGUGUAUUUUAUGUGUCCAUGCUCAAUAAAUGUGUGGGUGACCUUUCUUGGUUCCUGUAGAAGAUAUUGGGGUGAAGGAUUUUUUAUCUUACGAAGAAUUUCCUAUAGAAAUUCUUGAAGCUCAAAAUUUAAGGACCAAGGAGAUAGCUCCGGUAAAGGUACUAUGGAGGAACCAAAGAGUGGAGAAAGCUACUUGGGAAUUGGAGGAGGACAUGAAAGCUAGAUAUCCCUUCUUAUUUCCAUAUCCGGACGAGGUUGCUUGAGGUACGAAUCUUGUAUUUUCUCUAUUUUAUUUCAUGCAUUAGGUCCUUCUAUGCUCUCCAUUGCAUCAUGCUAAAAGUGUCAUAAUUUCUCAUUCGAGGAUGAAUGAGCCCAAGGGGAGGGGAUAAUGUAACACCCUAAAAAUUUUAGAACCUUAGCGCACCCAAUGUUAUAUAAAAUGCAAGUAAAUGUGAAAUCAAACUUCAUGUCUUUAUAUUAUUGGAAGUGAUUCACACAUUCAUUAAGGCCUCAAGUAACUCCAAACUCAUAGCCAAAUUAAAAUCUCCCUUAUCGAUUGAUUUCUCAUGAAGUAUCUUUCUAUAGUCAAAUUCAAACAAGCAUAACUCCUAUAAUAUGUAGUAUUUUUAAGCUCAAGAUCCACCAAAUAAUAGAUAAUUGAAUUAGCUUUCCAACGCAUCCAGUUUUGCCUUAAUUCGAUAUUGAAGUAAAAAGUUAUGGCCAUUUUACUGAGGCCUUGUCAAGCUGUCAGUGACCCAGGACUCGUGGGUUCAACCUACGAUUCGUGAGUUCAACCUACGACUCUUGAGUUCAAGUCGUGAGUCGGAUCCUGAAAGCUGAAAAUUGAUCCAAUUUCCAUGACUCUGACCCACGACUUGUGGGUUCACCCUACGAUUCGUGAGUACAAGUCAUGAGUCAAGUUCUGAGGGUCAUAAAACUCAUCUGAUUCCUACGACUCACGACUCGUUGGUCAAGCUGUGGGACCUUGUUUCCAAUAAAUUUUUUUUGGGUAAGCUUAGGUGUAUUUUGAUCAUUUUCCUUAUGAGGUUCGAUCCCCUUUUGAAUAUCCAGUUAUGAUUUUUUUCGAAAAAAAUAAAAUUAGAAACUCUUCCUCUUCCCCAAAACAUUCAAAAAGGCAAGAAUACCUAGGGUUCAAGAUUCAAGGUUCAGAUUCAAUUUUUUUUCAUCUAAAAGGCAUGUUGAACGUUCCCUACUUUUAUUACUAUCAUAAUGUAUGAAUUAUAACUAUUCUUCUGUAUGUUUAAAUUGGUAAUUUGAAACUAGGUUGAGAAGAUUGUUGUAAAAAGCCUUAAAAUGAUUUCCCUUCUUGCUUUUCAGUUUUUUUCUAAGCAUUAUUAAUGGAUUUUGAGAUGUAAAUACAUUCUAUGAAAAUGGUGAACUUGUUAGCAUGAAUUUACAACUCUUAAUAUUAUACAUAAUCUAAAUAUGUCCCUCAAUCCAUUUCAAACUUGAUUUUCAUGGGAAUUAUAAUUUUUACAACGUCUUCUGAAUAAGGUAUGAAUGAAAGAAUGAAAGGCUAAAUGACUUAUUUUGAAAGCCCUUGAGGGUUAUGUUUAUGAAAUUUUAAGAAGGAAUUAGGAGUCUAAAAUAUCUUAUGAAAACGGUAUGACAUAAUAUGAAUGACUUGCAAGUCUUGGUAUGACAAUAUCAAUGUGAGAAUAUUUUAAUGAAAGAAUCUAUGGAUGAAUUGAUUAUGGAUAUUUUAAUUGGGCUUUAAAGGAAAUUAUGUAGCUUCACAAAGAAAGCGUACGUCCUCGUGACCAACGGUCGAACCUAUAUUUUGCUGAUAUAGGGAUGUCGUACCUUUAUUGAACAACGAAUAGUGUCUUAACAUGAGCAUAAUAUGAUGACUCUAGUCUAUUGGUGAUUUUAGUCUAAUCUUAGUACUUGUGGCAAACAUGGACUAAGGUCCCGCCAGUUGGGGAGUACCAGAUACAUAUAGUUCGUAGGUUAUAUGAUGUUGGUGAAAAGCUGCAUAGUUCAGGAUUAAAUUUUAAAUGGUUAUGUCUUUAUGUCCCAUGUCCCUGAUCCUCUAAUUUAGUAUUAUUAUGAACGAUUAAAUGAGUUAUGACUUACUUUAUAAAAUGUUUAUUUCCCUAUCCCUCGGUUGCAUGCCAGUAUUCAUCGUACUGACCAUCUCUGGACGCUACAUCAUUUUAUGAUGUAGGUUCGGAGAUAUUUUUUCAUAAUUCCGUGCAACACUAGGGUAUUCAUGUUUUCUCUUCCCCAAAAUAUUAAAAGAGGCAAGAACACCUAGGGUUCAAGAUUCAAGGCUCAGAUUUCAAUUUUGUUCAUCUAAAAGGCAUGUUGAACACUCCCUACUUCUAUUAAUAUCAUAAAGUAUAGAUUUUAACUAUUCUUGUAUACGUUUAAAUUGGUAGUUUGAAAUUAGAGUUAAGGAGAUUGUUGUGGAAAGCCUUAAAUUGAUUAUCUUCUUGUUUUUCUGGAUUUUCUAAGCAUUAUUAAUGGAUUUUGAGAUGUAAAUACAUUCUAUGAAAAUGGUGAAUUUAUUAGCAUGGAUUCACAACUCUUAAUACUAUGCAUGAUAAACAUAUGUACCUCCACCCAUUUCAAACUUGAUUUUCAUGAAAAUUAUGAUUUUUUACAACGUCUUUUGAAUAGGGUAUGAAAUGAAAGAAUGAAAGGCUAAAUGACUUUUUUUUGAAAGACCAUGAGGAUUAUGUUUAUGAACUUUUAAAACAGAAAUGAGAGUCUAAAAUGUCUUAUGAAAACGGUAUGAUAUAAUAUGAAUGACUUACAAGUCUUGGUAUGACAAUACCAAUAUGGAAAUGUACUAAUGAAAAACUCUAUGGAUGAUCGAUUAUGAAAUUAUUUUAAUUAGGCUUUAAAGAAAAUUAUGUAGCUUCACUGAGAAGGUGUACUUCCUCGUGACCAACGCUCGAAACCUAUGUUUGAUAUAGGGAUGUCGUACAUUCAUUGGACGAUGAAUGGUGUCCUUAUCAUGAGGAUAGUAUGGUGAAUCUAGUCUAUUGAUGUUUUUAGCCUAAUCUCAGUACUUGCGGCAAACAUGGAUUGAGGCUCCGCCGGUUGGGGAGUACCAGAUCCAUAUUGUCUUUGAAUUACAGGAUGUCAGUAAAAAUCUAUCUAAUUUAGGAUUAAAUUUUAAAUGUUUAUGUCUUUAUAUCCCAUGUCCCUGGUCCCCUACUUUAUUAUUAUUAUGGACGAUUAAAUGAGUUAUGACUUACUUUAUAAAAUAUUUAUUUUCCUCUCCCUACGUUGCAUGCCAAUAUUCGUCAUACUGACCGUCUCCGAAUGCUACAUCAUUUUAUGAUGUAGAUUUAGAGGCAUUUUUUGUGAUUCUGUGCAGCACUAUAGUAUUCGUAUUUUCUCUUGGACAGUUGAUGAGAAGUGAUGAGCCCUCCAUCAUUCUUAAGACAUUGUUAUUUUUUAUUUAUAUUUUUAUUUCAGUAUUUUAUGAUUUUUGUGGUAUAGUCAGGGGCCAUGCCCCGACUUAGGAGUUAUUCUCAAAGUUAGAGGCUUCGUAUACAAGCGUUGAGUAAUGGUUUGAAUGUGAUUCUUAAGACACGGAUGUUACUUUGUCUUAGAUGUUGAACUUUUUUGUUCAUAUGGUCUUAUUUUCACAACUUUAGAUAUGACUAUCCUUAUAAUAUAAUGCUAAGUGAUUAUCUCAAGCCUUCAUUGGUUUGGGAUGCUCAUCACGACCAGGGCCAUGGUUCAAGUUGUGAUAGUUGGUAGCGAGGUUGGAUCAGAUUCAAAACAUCUAUUUUACAUUUUGAUCUUUUGUUUGAAAACUAGUAAAAUUGUCUAAAAGAUGUUCUGGGAAAUAAUUUGGUAAAAACAAUCCUUUUUAAAAAAUAGGAUAUUUCCAUUAAGUCUAUAACAUUGAAAACAUCCUGGUAACAUAUAUGAUUUAUCUCAAUAAGGUCCUUAAUGAAUCUUGAGGGUUCAUUAGGAAUCAUUUCUUCACUUGAAAAAUCUACUGGUGUAAUAUUUUCUGAUGCAUCAGGCCCUUCAUCGUGAUCGCGUGACCUCAUAUCACAAUUUUUUGCCUCGAUAACAAAAUUCAUUGUGACCGCAUGGUUGUGGUACUACAAUCGCAAUGGGUUAAUCAGUAGACUGGGUCAGGUUGACUCAUCAUAAUUGUGAUGCCCUGUUAUGCGACCGCGAUGACUAGUCCAAUUACUGAUCCACGUUGAUCCUCGCAAUUGCGAGACACUGUUCACAGAAUAGGAUAAUAGUUCUUUUUCAUGAUUUUACUUCAUUUUGCGCCUUCAAGCUUGGGUAAAGGCGAUUUUACUAGUGUUUCUCCAUCCUUUUUGUGCGGGUAAACUCUAAACUCAUUUUUCAUUACUUCCUAUUGAUUAUGUCUUCAAAAAUACCUUUUAAACUCGAAGUUGAAAUGUAUUUUUGAGGUUUUUUUUUUGUAAAGCUUAAAAAUAAAUUGUCCUCGGUUCAAACCUCGUUUUAAACUUAUUUUCAUGUGGGUUCUCAACUGUUGACUCCUAUAAUCUUGGGGAAUGUAUUUCUAAAAUAAAAUUCUGAUUUUAUUUCAUUCAUUUUUGAACUCAUUUUUCAAACCUGUUUUCAACUUGAAUAUAGAUAAUAUGAGUAUCAUUAACUAUAUUUUAACACAUAGAUAUUAUAUUUAUAUAUCUUAGUUGAUUUCGAGACCGUUCGAAAGGAGAAGACUCUAUGUUGAAGGACUUUAAGCUUAAAUUUUGAUGCUUUGAGGUUGGUUAUGACAUAACUUUCUUCAUACUGGGUUAGGUUGUUAGUAAAUAAGUAAAAAAUGCUAUGAUUGGGAAAAAUAAAUAUGAGAAUUAUUUUUCGAGUUAUUAUAUAUUGUGUGAUGCCUGUAUAACGACUUGUAUUCUUGUUGUUAUUAACUUGUGAUAUUAUAUAUUGUGUGUUGUCCGUGUGUGGGCUUUGUUUGAUGUUAUUGGCCUUACUUAUGCAUUUAAAUAUCUUUAUUCUUAAUGUGAUGUCCGUGUAGGGGCUUGAAUAGAUAUUAUAUGACUUAUUGAACAUUGUUUGUUUUUAUCAUGAUAGAAAUGUCAAAUUUUGGAUUGAUAUGAUAUUAAUAAUAUCUUACGUGAAUAUUUAUUUCAAUGGUGCCAAACUAGAGUUGAUAUUAUAAAAUGUUGACAUACUGAGUUGAUUUUUGGACUCACUUAUACAAAUAUUAAAUGGAUCUGUUAUUUUCUUACUUAUUUGAUUGUGAGCGUUAUAUUCUCAUCCAUACAUACACAUUCAUAUGAGAUAUUAGUUCAAUUGAGGAACAUUGAUUUUUUAAAAGAAAACAAGAUAUUUUUAAAAAUGCCAUGUACUUGUUGGGUGGAUUGAGUUAUGAUAUUGAGAUUGGUGGGAACUUUGAGAUAGUAUACGAGUAGUGAGUCCCCCAUGGAUCCUACUUGGGGAGCCUUGAGACUCGAUAAGUGUAUACAGAAAGUAAUGUGAUGACUUUCAAUAUAUAUAUAUAUAUAUAUAUUAGUGGAGACUGUGUGAGCUGCCGUUUGGGAACUUUUCUGUUUGCAGAUGACGUACUCAUAGUAUUCUUUACUUAUAUUAUUUUCUACUUUGCUCAGUCGACUAUGAUACUUACUGAGUAUAAGUGGAUUGCACUCACUCCUACUGUGCCCUUUCCGUGCAGAUUCUAGUAUGAGCACGACAUGCGGUGACUGAUUUCAAGAUGAUUUGAGUUGGUGAUUUCGAGGUAUUGGCACACUCUUGGGCUUUCGGGGUUGACUCCAGGCCAUCUCUAAUCUAUUUUGAUGUCUUUAUUAGUUUUGAUAUGUAACCAGUUGUACUUCGAUAUUUCAGAUGUAUUUACUAGAUGCUCUACACUUAUGACACCAGAUUUUGAGAAUUUUAUGUAUUUUGUUUAAACUUCCACUAAAUUUACAUAUGUUUUGACUUGAUUUUGUUUUAGAAGUCUC